Molecule: long non-coding RNA, 767 nt
Organism: Marmota monax (woodchuck)
Lineage: Eukaryota; Metazoa; Chordata; Mammalia; Rodentia; Sciuridae
Exons: 3
Source: RefSeq, a predicted model, not a curated record
UAACUUGCAAGAAUGAAUCAAUUGUGGAUGGAAUUGUAUCCUCCAAAAAAGAUUGGUUGAAGCCCUAAUCAUCAGUGCAUCAGAAUGUAGCCUUAUUUGGAAAUGGGCAAUUGUAGAUUUAAUAUCAAUAUGAUAUCAUACUAGAGUAUGGACUCUUCAUCCAACAUGACUGGUGUCCUUAUGCAAAUAAGAGACAAAGGCAUAGACAAAUGAAUGGAGAAUACUAUGUGACAAUGGAAGCAGAGAUUGAAGCAGUAUAGUUGAAAGUCAAGGAUUACCAAGAAUUGACAGCUACCACCCGAAGCUAGGAAGAGGCAAGGAAGAAUUCUUCUCAUUGUCUCAGAGAAAGAUAUGAAGAUAAGGAUUACUCCAAAGUUUAGCAUUUGAGCAAAUUUAAGGAUGGCAUUCAUGAAAAAAUGGAGGAGGCAAGAGAAGAAGCUGAUUCAGGGAUUAAGUCAGAAUGGCAAUUAUCAAGAAUACAACCAACAAUAAGUGUUGGCGAGGAUGUGGGGGAAAAGCACACUCACACACUGCUGGUGGGACAACAAAUUGGUGCAACCACUAUGGAAAGCAGUAUGGAGAUUCCUCAGAAAACUGGGAAUGGAACCACCAUUUGACCCAGCUAUCCCAGUCCUUGGUCUAUACCCAAAGGACUUAAAAUCAGCAUACUACAGUGACAUAGCCACAUCAUUGUUUAUAGCAGCUCAAUUCACAAUAGCUAAACUAUGGAACCAACUUAGAUGCCCUUCAUCAGAUGAAUGGAUAAA